UGGCUGCAGCAAGGAAUAUUGUGCAAUGGGCGAAAGCCUGACACAGCGACGCCGCGUGGGGGAAGAAGGCCUUCGGGUUGUAAACUCCUUUUCCCAGGGAAGAAUAAUGACGGUACCUGGGGAAUAAGUCUCGGCUAACUACGUGCCAGCAGCCGCGGUAAUACGUAGGAGGCGAGCGUUAUCCGGAUUUACUGGGCGUAAAGAGGGCGUAGGCGGCUUUUCAAGUCGGAUGUAAAAUCUCCCGGCUUAACCGGGAGGGACCAUUCGAUACUGCUGGGCUAGAGUACAGUAGAGGGAGGUGGAAUUCCCGGUGUAGUGGUGAAAUGUGUAGAUAUCGGGAGGAACACCAGUGGCGAAGGCGGCCUCCUGGGCUGUUACUGACGCUGAGGCCCAUAAGCGUGGGGAGCAAACAGGAUUAGAUACCCUUGUAGUC
This 433-nucleotide ribosomal RNA is filed under the name uncultured Dehalococcoidia bacterium. RNAcentral's name for it is "bacterial SSU rRNA". It matches the Rfam family "Bacterial small subunit ribosomal RNA", at positions 346 to 795 of the family's 1533-position model. Lineage: Bacteria; Bacillati; Chloroflexota; Dehalococcoidia. The record is from RNAcentral.